Molecule: small RNA, 126 nt
Filed under: Marmota monax (woodchuck)
Lineage: Eukaryota; Metazoa; Chordata; Mammalia; Rodentia; Sciuridae
Source: RNAcentral
GCUGGGCGUGGCAGCUCACACCUGUAAUCCCAGUGGCUCGGGAGGCUGAGGCAGGAGGAUUGUGAGUUCAAAGCCACCCUCAGCAAAAAGGGAGGUGCUAAGCAAUUCAGUGAGACCCUGUCUCUA